This 484-nucleotide ribosomal RNA is filed under the name uncultured bacterium. Its description in RNAcentral is "partial 16S ribosomal RNA". It matches the Rfam family "Bacterial small subunit ribosomal RNA", at positions 30 to 507 of the family's 1533-position model. The record is from RNAcentral.
AUUGAACGCUAGCGGGAUGCUUUACACAUGCAAGUCGAACGGCAGCGCGGACUUCGGUCUGGCGGCGAGUGGCGAACGGGUGAGUAAUGUAUCGGAACGUGCCCAGUAGCGGGGGAUAACUACGCGAAAGCGUAGCUAAUACCGCAUACGCCCUACGGGGGAAAGCAGGGGAUCGUAAGACCUUGCACUAUUGGAGCGGCCGAUAUCGGAUUAGCUAGUUGGUGAGGUAACGGCUCACCAAGGCGACGAUCCGUAGCUGGUUUGAGAGGACGACCAGCCACACUGGGACUGAGACACGGCCCAGACUCCUAUGGGAGGCAGCAGUGGGGAAUUUUGGACAAUGGGGGCAACCCUGAUCCAGCCAUCCCGCGUGUGCGAUGAAGGCCUUCGGGUUGUAAAGCACUUUUGGCAGGAAAGAAACGUCGCGGGCUAAUACCCCGUGGAACUGACGGUACCUGCAGAAUAAGCACCGGCUAACUACGUG